Mirounga angustirostris (Northern elephant seal) is the source of this 2634-nucleotide long non-coding RNA. RefSeq lists it as uncharacterized. The record is from RefSeq and is a predicted model, not a curated record. The transcript has 4 exons. Lineage: Eukaryota; Metazoa; Chordata; Mammalia; Carnivora; Phocidae.
AAAAAAAAAGAUAUUACAUGUCUUGCCCAAGAUCACCUAGCUAGGAAGUUGCAGACCUGGGAUUCAAAUGCAGGCAGUCUGACUCCAGAUCCUCUCUCUUAACUAUGACUUCAUACUCCCUAUUUCAAGACCUCUUUGGAGUCCACAGUCCUUGAGCUCCUUUUUUGGAUAUUAUGUUGAGGUAUCUGGAAUGAUUAGACAGGCAGAGAUAAGAACAUGACCUAGUCAAAGUUGUUUCAGUCUUUUUACUACCUUCUUAAUCUGCCUCCAGGAACCACAGCCUGGAGGUUGUCUUAGUAAGAGUGUACAGAUAACAGAGUCUCUAGGGGCUUUUUUAGAACACUGUGUGGCCCAGCUAAUUUUAAUCACACAGCUAGAUCAGAAAGGGAGCUGAUUUCCUGAAGUCCUAGAAGUCAGUGGAAAUUCCGGUUUUCUGAUUACAGUCCCAGUUGAAUUUCUGCUGUGAUGUACUAAUCGAAGCACUCUGUAUGCAUUAUUUGAUCUUAACAACCGCAUGAGGUAAGCUUUACAGCUCUACGCUAUAGAUGCAGAAACCAGGAUUCUGAGAGGUGAUAAACUGUGGCAUGGAAGUAGAGGAUGAAGCCAGGAGAGGCUUUUUACAUCAAGUAUAAGGGAACAGAUUUCUCCUCUCCAUGCCAAUAGGAACCCCCUCUGAUCUUCUAACUGGUAAAGUACAAAAUCCAAAAACCUCUUAGCCCUCUGUUUUUCAACCUUGAGUGGUAUUUGGAUCCAUUUCUAAAGGGAAAAAAAAUUGUGAAAAUCCUCAGGCAACUUAUUUUUUUAAAGAUUUUUUAUUUAUUUGAGAGAGAGAGGGAGAAUGAGCGGGGGAGAAGAGGGAGAAGCAGGCUCCUCACUGAGCAGGGAGCCAGGCACAAGGCUUGAUCCCAGGACCCUGGGAUCAUGACCUGAGCUGAAGGCAGAUGCUGGAAUGGUGCCCCAGGUGCCCCCAACUUAAAUUAUUUUUAUUACAAUGUUACUUAAACUUGCAAAUAUAAAGUAGGAAUAUAGUGUUCUUUUAUUUAUAGUUCUUACACACUAACAACCCAAAAGAGAUCUACAAAUCAAGUACCCAGGAGCCUGAGUUAUCCCUUGUAUUGACUCAGGUGUUGCCUGGGAGGAAGGCUCAGCUGCUUUUGAGGUGAAUGUGCCUGUGCUGCCAAGUGACCUGUAAUACCUGUUUUCUCACUUGUCUGCUGGAAAUGCUGUGACAGUGCAUUUCCAUGGUGUCAGUUGGCUUUCAUUUUGGGCAUGAAAACACCAUUUUCAUUUUAAAUCUACCUCCGAUCUUUUCUUAUUUUAGAAGGGUAAAAGCAGCAUGGGAACGCACAUGCAAACCUAAGUAUUGAAAUAGGGCAGCAAUGCUGGUUAUAAAGUGGUCAUCCAAAUAGUACAGAAUAUGCUUAUAUAAAUCUAAAAAUUAUUACCAAUAUGAAAACCAAACCGAAGCCCUACAGAAUACAUCCACAGACCUAAUUUGAGAGCUACUGUUCAAGUCCAUUGGUCCCCAAACUUUCACUCCUAUCAAAGGCUCUAUCUACUGUGUUUAUUCUGACGAAUGUGGGUUUUUUUUUUUUUAAAGUCUCCUAAAUUACGUUCAUUAAUAAUUUUAUGUUUUUAUUAAUCAGACCUGCAGUUACCAUUUCGGAGCUUAUGAUCACCAUAUUCACCAUAUGUAGUUUGUCACUCUAAGCUGCUUAUAGUCCAAAACGAACAAAAGAGAGGGGACAUUCUGGUGGUUCUGUGCUGCCUGCAGAAGGGUAAAGGAAAACUUUCCAUCAAGUUUUGUAAGAAACUCCAGCACCCUCACCUCCUCCUACUGGUGCCUCUGAGGACUCUUGGGAGUUCUAGGGAGGCCAGUUUAGCCUUUCUUGUACAAGCAAAGUAGCCACUCCACCCAAUUUGGAAGGAUUAAAGCUUGUCCUAGUUUUGCUUGAUUGUUGUACUUCUAGCAUGCUAAAGACCUAAAAGAGGGAGGAAGAAAAAACAACAGAAGGCACCAUUCCAGUACCAAGCUGAAAAGAAACACAAAAACAAGAGAGCAGCAUGUUUUUAACAGCUUGCAUGGAAAAAGCGGAAAAAAUAUUGACUGGGGAGCUUGGACAGCAGUGUUCCUUUCCUCUCACCGCCCGCGGUAUUUGUCUGACGGAGCAGGGGCCAGAUACAAUUCUGGCUCACAGGCCAGAGGAAGAGGUGGAGGGGUUCUGUGGAAGCUUGAGGCUAGCAGGGGAAAUUAGGGCUGGAGACCCGGUGGCUUAGGGCCAGGAUGAAGUCGGGGGAGGCGCUAAGUCUGUUUUCCUCCUGGCCUGGGGCCUCCUCUGGUGUGCCUGAGUCCUAGGAGCACAGCUCGCAUCACUCAGGUAGGUCCCUGACCCCUUCAGCCCACCAUAAGCAGAAUGAAUUCCUGCCCCCGUUGCUUUCGGCUGUGUAAAGGAUGCGGGGGCUCCGUUCGCUUUCUCAGCCCACCCUUCUUCUGGAGUUUAAACGUACAGCUUCCGCAACGGAGUCCACGCGGGGACCUCCACCACCCCGGCAGGGACUCCGCUCCCCCGCCUCCGCGCAGUGGGAGUGCGGGCCUUAGUUCCGCCGGCCGGGGCGCGGGGCGGGGCCGGGGCG